GACGGAGGAUGCAAGCGUUAUCCGGAAUGAUUGGGCGUAAAGCGUCCGCAGGUGGCAGUUCAAGUCUGCUGUCAAAGACCGGGGCUUAACUUCGGAAAGGCAGUGGAAACUGAACAGCUAGAGUAUGGUAGGGGCAGAGGGAAUUCCUGGUGUAGCGGUGAAAUGCGUAGAGAUCAGGAAGAACACCGGUGGCGAAGGCGGCGAGCUGGUCCAUUACUGACGCUGAGGCGCGACAGCGUGGGGAGCAAACAGG
RNAcentral lists this ribosomal RNA (253 nucleotides) under uncultured bacterium. Its description in RNAcentral is "partial 16S ribosomal RNA". It matches the Rfam family "Bacterial small subunit ribosomal RNA", at positions 524 to 776 of the family's 1533-position model. The record is from RNAcentral.